GCGAACCUCGCCAACGAACGAUCGGACAUGGGAUAACGGAAGAGGGCGUCGGCUCGACUUCGUCGGUUCCUCGGGCCGAGGCACGUACGGUGGAAUAGGGGACGGUCGGGGCCGCCCGUACCGGGUCGUGAGAGGUGAAAUUCUAGGAUCGACCCGAGACGAACCGCCGCGAAAGCAUUCGGCAAGGACGCUUUCAUUAAUCAAGAACGAAAGUCGGGGGAUCGAAGACGAUCAGAUACCGUCGUAGUCCCGACCGUAAACGAUGCCGACCGAGGGCCCGGAGGAGUUACGUACGACCCUCCGGGCCCUCCCGCGAGAAAUCAGGAGUAUUCGGGUUCCGGGGGGAGUAUGGUCGCAAGGCCGAAACUUAAAGGAAUUGACGGAAGGGCACCACCAGGAGUGGAAUCUGCGGCUUAAUUUGACCCAACGCGGGAAAACUCACCAGGUCAGGACACGGUAAGGAUUGACGGACUGAAGGCUCUUUCUCGAUUCCGUGGAAAGUGGUGCAUGGCCGUUUUUGGUUGGUGGAUCGAUCCGUCUGGUUAAUUCCGUUAACGAACGAGACCUCGGCACUCCGAAUAGCGCGGCGGACGUCGCGGCCUCC
Molecule: ribosomal RNA, 604 nt
Filed under: uncultured eukaryote
Lineage: Eukaryota
Description: bacterial SSU rRNA
Rfam family: Eukaryotic small subunit ribosomal RNA
Source: RNAcentral